RNAcentral lists this ribosomal RNA (484 nucleotides) under uncultured bacterium. Its description in RNAcentral is "partial 16S ribosomal RNA". It matches the Rfam family "Bacterial small subunit ribosomal RNA", at positions 28 to 523 of the family's 1533-position model. The record is from RNAcentral.
GACGAACGCUGGCGGCGUGCUUAACACAUGCAAGUCGAACGAUGAAGCUAGAGCUUGCUCUGGUGAAUUAGUGGCGAACGGGUGAGUAACACGUGAGUAACCUGCCCCGAACUCUGGGAUAACUGCUGGAAACGGUAGCUAAUACUGGAUACGACCUACGAAGGCAUCUUCUGUAGGUGGAAAGAAUUUCGGUUCGGGAUGGACUCGCGGCCUAUCAGCUUGUUGGUGAGGUAAUGGCUCACCAAGGCGACGACGGGUAGCCGGCCUGAGAGGGUAACCGGCCACACUGGGACUGAGCCACUGCCCAGACUCCCACGGGGGGCAGCAGUGGGGAAUAUUGCACAGUGGGCGCAAGCCUGAUGCAGCAACGCCGCGGGAGGGAUGACGGCCUUCGGGUUGUAAACCGCUUUUAGUAGGGAAGAAGCGAAAGUGACGGUACCUGCAGAAAAAGCACCGGCUAACUACGUGCCAGCCGCCGCCGUAA